CUAAGAGUCACAAAGCACUGUGGAGAAGAACUCCUCUGACAGUUGAUGCCUCUCAGCACAGCCUGUUAAGGCUCUGGUCCAUGUUCAUCAUUAGCAUCAAAUGUCACCUCUGUGUUUGGUGAACAGCUGCCCUGUUUGGUUUAAGGCUAAGACCUAGUCUGGCAAAGAAGAUGGAGCUGCUCAUUUCUGAAGAGAUGAACCUGUGGAAGUCUGCCAGAGCAACAGGCAUCAGAAUGAAGGCCAGCAAUAUGCAUACCCUGUGAGAUGGCCCCCGAGGGGUGCAGCAGAAGGAUCCUUUUUGCCUGAAAGGGGAACAGAGCUAACACAUCUUGGAUAAAUGCAUAUCCUCAAGCAGAUGGAACUGAUAGAUCAGGUAUAUGAACAAUCCCAACACAAUGAGAGCAGAGUAAAUACUAUCAAAUAAACUACCAAUGAACAAGAAGACAGUAGAGGUACCUUGAAAAUGCAGCAGAGCUUAGCUGUGGUCUGCUGGAAAGAAGUGGUGACCACAGAGAGCUUGGAGCUAACAAUGAGAAACUGGUAACAAGUCCCUGGGAUCCUUGCAAGCAGCAACAUGCUGUGUGGAGCAGGACUGUCGGGCUCCCUUUACCCAAGGUCCCAUCUGCAAGGACAGCAUUCUCAGUCAUUUUCUCUUCUGGUCCUUCAUGACUUCUGUCAUUUUUUGUGCCUCUGAAUCUGCCUCUCUUUCCUUCCUAUUCUUAAUGCUCUUAUUUUACCAGAGAAAUCUUCAUAACAAAAUGCUAUGUCUUUAAUACCAUCAAGGAAUUCCUUAAUCCUCUAGGUAAAUAUUUCUGCUUAGUGUAU
This is a non-coding RNA of Heterocephalus glaber (naked mole-rat), 825 nucleotides long. The record is from RefSeq and is a predicted model, not a curated record. Lineage: Eukaryota; Metazoa; Chordata; Mammalia; Rodentia; Bathyergidae.